GACUGCGGAGGGAUCAUUACACAAUAAAAUAUGAAGGCUGUACGCGGCUGUGCUCUCGGGCCAGUUUUGCGGAGGCUGAAUUAUUUAUUACCCUUGUCUUUUGCGCACUUGUUGUUUCCUGGGCGGGUUCGCCCGCCACCAGGACCACAUCAUAAACCUUUUUUAUGCAGUUGCAAUCAGCGUCAGUAUAACAAAUGUAAAUCAUUUACAACUUUCAACAACGGAUCUCUUGGUUCUGGCAUCGAUGAAGAACGCAGCGAAAUGCGAUACGUAGUGUGAAUUGCAGAAUUCAGUGAAUCAUCGAAUCUUUGAACGCACAUUGCGCCCUUUGGUAUUCCAAAGGGCAUGCCUGUUCGAGCGUCAUUUGUACCCUCAAGCUUUGCUUGGUGUUGGGCGUUUUUUGUCUUUGGUUGCCAAAGACUCGCCUUAAAAGGAUUGGCAGCCGGCCUACUGGUUUCGCAGCGCAGCACAUUUUUGCGCUUGCAAUCAGCAAAAGAGGACGGCAAUCCAUCAAGACUCCUUCUCACGUUUGACCUCGGAUCAGGUAGGGAUACCCGCUGAACUUAAGCAUAUCAAAA
Molecule: ribosomal RNA, 578 nt
Filed under: Curvularia lunata
Lineage: Eukaryota; Fungi; Ascomycota; Dothideomycetes; Pleosporales; Pleosporaceae
Description: eukaryotic LSU rRNA
Rfam family: 5.8S ribosomal RNA (bases 210-363)
Source: RNAcentral